GACAGAGGGUGCAAACGUUGCUCGGAAUUACUGGGCGGAAAGGGCGCGUAGGCGGGAUGGCAAGUCGGUCGUGAAAUCCCUCGGCUCAACUGAGGAACGUCGAUCGAUACUGCCGUUCUUGAGGAUUGCAGAGGAGACUGGAAUUCCCGGUGUAGCGGUGAAAUGUGUAGAGAUCGGGAGGAACACCGGUGGCGAAGGCGGGUCUCUGGGCAAUUCCUGACGCUGAGGCGCGAAAGCGUGGGGAGCAAACGGG
Molecule: ribosomal RNA, 253 nt
Filed under: uncultured bacterium
Lineage: Bacteria
Description: partial 16S ribosomal RNA
Rfam family: Bacterial small subunit ribosomal RNA
Source: RNAcentral